This 25-nucleotide ribosomal RNA is filed under the name Protoglossum luteum. Its description in RNAcentral is "partial 28S ribosomal RNA". RNAcentral also lists the same sequence under 3 other names. Lineage: Eukaryota; Fungi; Basidiomycota; Agaricomycetes; Agaricales; Cortinariaceae. The record is from RNAcentral.
CAGGUAGGACUACCCGCUGAACUUA